RNAcentral lists this ribosomal RNA (263 nucleotides) under uncultured bacterium. RNAcentral's name for it is "partial 16S ribosomal RNA". It matches the Rfam family "Bacterial small subunit ribosomal RNA", at positions 793 to 1055 of the family's 1533-position model. The record is from RNAcentral.
GUCCACGCCGUAAACGAUGGGUGCUAGGUGUGGGUGGUGUCGACUCCAUCCGUGCCGAAGCUAACGCAUUAAGCACCCCGCCUGGGGAGUACGGCCGCAAGGCUAAAACUCAAAGGAAUUGACGGGGGCCCGCACAAGCAGCGGAGCAUGUGGUUUAAUUCGACGCGACGCGAAGAACCUUACCAGGGCUUGACAUGCACGGGAAUGUCGUAGAAAUACGGCAGCCCUUCGGGGCUCGUGCACAGGUGGUGCAUGGCUGUCGU